GAAUGAAGUGAUGAUUGAACAUUGUUUCCCUAUUGGUUUGAUCGCCGACAUGAUGGCAUCUUACGUAUUAGCUCUAGCUGAUCAUUC
Molecule: small nucleolar RNA, 87 nt
Filed under: Arabidopsis suecica
Lineage: Eukaryota; Viridiplantae; Streptophyta; Magnoliopsida; Brassicales; Brassicaceae
Also listed under: 3 other names
Description: snoZ102_R77
Rfam family: Small nucleolar RNA Z102/R77
About the family: Z102 and R77 and are members of the C/D class of snoRNA which contain the C (UGAUGA) and D (CUGA) box motifs.
Source: RNAcentral